RNAcentral lists this ribosomal RNA (426 nucleotides) under uncultured bacterium. Its description in RNAcentral is "bacterial SSU rRNA". It matches the Rfam family "Bacterial small subunit ribosomal RNA", at positions 356 to 773 of the family's 1533-position model. The record is from RNAcentral.
GAGGAAUUUUGCGCAAUGGGGGCAACCCUGACGCAGCAACGCCGCGUGAGUGAUGAAGGCCUUUGGGUCGUAAAACUCUGUCAGCAGGAAAGAAGUUAUAGAGGGUUAAUACCCCUUUAUAUUGACGGUACCUGCAAAGGAAGCACCGGCUAACUCCGUGCCAGCAGCCGCGGUAACACGGAGGGUGCAAGCGUUAUUCGGAAUUAUUGGGCGUAAAGGGCGCGUAGGCGGCCGAUCAGGUCAGGUGUGAAAGCCCGGGGCUUAACCCCGGAAGUGCAUUUGAAACCGGUUGGCUUGAGUAUGGGAGAGGAGAGCGGAAUUCCUGGUGUAGAGGUGAAAUUCGUAGAUAUCAGGAGGAACACCGGUGGCGAAGGCGGCUCUCUGGACCAAUACUGACGCUGAGGCGCGAAGGCGUGGGUAGCAAAC